This 584-nucleotide ribosomal RNA is filed under the name uncultured bacterium. RNAcentral describes it as "bacterial SSU rRNA". It matches the Rfam family "Bacterial small subunit ribosomal RNA", at positions 46 to 620 of the family's 1533-position model. The record is from RNAcentral.
GCUAACACAUGCAAGUCGAACGGCAGCACAGCAGUAGCAAUACUGUGGGUGGCGAGUGGCGGACGGGUGAGGAAUACAUCGGAAUCUGCCUUAUCGUGGGGGAUAACGUAGGGAAACUUACGCUAAUACCGCAUACGACCUUAGGGUGAAAGCGGAGGACCGCAAGGCUUCGCGCGAUAAGAUGAGCCGAUGUCGGAUUAGCUAGUUGGCGGGGUAAUGGCCCACCAAGGCGACGAUCCGUAGCUGGUCUGAGAGGAUGAUCAGCCACACUGGAACUGAGACACGGUCCAGACUCCUACGGGAGGCAGCAGUGGGGAAUAUUGGACAAUGGGCGCAAGCCUGAUCCAGCCAUGCCGCGUGUGUGAAGAAGGCCUUCGGGUUGUAAAGCACUUUUGUCCGGAAAGAAAAGCUUUGGGCUAAUACCCCGAAGUCAUGACGGUACCGGAAGAAUAAGCACCGGCUAACUUCGUGCCAGCAGCCGCGGUAAUACGAAGGGUGCAAGCGUUACUCGGAAUUACUGGGCGUAAAGCGUGCGUAGGUGGUUUGUUAAGUCUGAUGUGAAAGCCCUAGGCUCAACCUGGGAA